CACUUCCCAGAAUCCCCUAGAGAUGCACUCUGGGAAAUGUAGUUCUGUUUUCAUGCUAGCUGUAAUUGUAAACAUGAUUUUGCCUCACUCCCCAGAAUCCACCUAGAGAUGCACUCUGGGAAACGUAGUUCUAUCUUCAUGCUAACUAGUUGUAAGCAUGCUUUUGCGUCACUCCUCAGAAUCCACCUAGAGAUGCACUCUGGGAAUUGCUUAAUCCACAAUUGUGCCUGCUACCCACUCCAACUGCAAAGUUAACCAUGAUUGUCAAAAGCAUGAUCUAAGAUCUUCAAAAUUCAUUAUCUGGAAAACUGUGUCUUUGGAGACUAUAAACUAGCAUUAGAUUCAAUUUUGAAUAACAAAAAGAUAGUCAAACCCAUCCUAAUACACAGCAUAUUUGUUGUGGGGGAGGGAAGGAGUGUUGAGGCAGGAAAUCAGAUAACUUUCAACCUUUCUGUAUCUUUAUUUCUGUCUCUGUCUACCCACUUUAGAACUAGCUGUAACAUUUCAUGAAAUUCUGCAAUUUAAAAGGACCUGACUGUGUCUAGAUGUGUGGCAGCUUAUGUUAAAAUGCAUCCCUUGAUCAACCAAGGUAGGAUUCCAUCUGUCCGAAAGCAGUCCUCCAGCAGAACUACUUUGGUUCUGCUCUUUUCUCUACUUACUACUAAAGUUCCUUGCUUAUAGAUGACAGUUUUGAAGUCCCUUCAUUUACAAUGUAUUUAAUGAAUACCAAAUGUACCUAGGACUAUUAUUAGGAUCAGAUACAGCAGGGGAAAAAGACAUGAAAACUUCUGUCCUCCUGGAACUUACAUUCUAAAGGAAGAAACAAACAAGUAUAUAUACAAUGUGUCAGGUGGUUAUAAGCGCUAAGGAGAAAAAUAAAGCAAGAUAAGAGGAGGGAGGAUUUUGCUAUUUUUUAUAGGAUGGCGAUGGCGGUGGCGAGCCUCAUUUGAGCAAAGAUAGUGAAGGAGUUGAGGAAGGAAGCCAGGUGGAAAUCUGUGAGAAGAGAUCUGUGGAUAGAAAAAAUCAGCAGAUGCAAAGAUCCUGGGGAGGAAGUGUAACUGGCAGAUCCAAGGAAAGCCCAAGACAAAGCAUGAUGGUCAGAGAUGAGGUCAAAGAGUAGCCAAGUACCAAAUCACGUAGGGCUUCACAAGUCUUAACAAUUUUUGUAGAGCCAUUGUAAUGCUUUCAGUUUUUACUCUGGGUUGGAUGGGAUGUUACAGAAAAAUUUGAGCAAGAUCUCAAUUGAGUGAGAUGAUCUGACUUACAUUUUAAAGGAAUUACUCUGUGUGUGGAGAUUAGACUGUAGGGGAUAAGAGUUAUUAAAUCCUGAAUGUCAUUGUUAAUGUGUAACUCAGUUACAUGGGAAGCAAGAAUGGUAACUGGUUGACCAGCCGUUUCUUUUGGACCUUUUCAUUAAUACAUGAACGCAAGGUUUUUAUCAGGCUGAUUCAUUGUCCUUAAGGAAGGCACAGAAAAUUUGAAGGAUAUAAGAUUAUAAAGUCAAUAAGUUCCAAAGAGAUGGGGAAGCACGCUUAGGGAAACUUAGGGAUCUAAUAAUUUUUUAUUUUGUAAAGUUUAUUUAUUUUGAGAGUGUGAGUGCACAUGUGUGAGUAUGUGAGCAUGUGAGAUGGGAAGGGGCAGAGAGAGGUGGGGGCAGAGAGAGAAUCCCAAGCCGGCUCCAUGCUGUCAGCAAGGAGCCCAACAGGGGGCUUGAUCUAACAAGUGAGAUCAUGACCUGAGCUGAAAUCAAGAGUCCAUUGCUUAACUGAGUGAGCCCCUCUAAUAAUUUUUUAAAAAUCAAAAUAACUAUAUUUUUGAGCAAUUAAGUGUUAAGUGCUACAUAAGAAAAAUAGUGCUAUGGUCUGAAUGUGUUCCCUCAAAAUUCAUGUUGAAAUAAUAAUACCCAAUGUAAUACUAUUACAAGGUGAGAUCUUUGGGAGAUGAUGAUUGGGUCAUGAGAGUGGAGCUUUCAUGAAUGGGAUUAAUGCCCUUAUAAAAGAGGCCCAAGAGCACUCCCUUGCUCCUUCCACCAUGUGAGAAGUCAGCAGUCUGCAACUUAGAGGAGGGCCUUCACCAGAGCCCAACCAUGCUGGCACCCUGAUCUUGGACUUCCAAGUUCCAGAAUUGUGGGAAAUAAAUUUCUGUUGUUUAUAAGCUACCCAGUCUGUGGAAUUUUGUUGUAGCAGACCAAAUGGACUAAGACACAUAGUCAAGAUUAACUGGGCAUUUACUGUGUUCCAGGUACCAUGUAAAGUGUUUCAUAUAUUAUCAUUAAUCCUCACAGUCUAUGAGAUAUGUAUUAUUAUUAUUUGCACAUUACAGACAAUAAAACAGGAUUCAAAAAGUCAGAAAAAGAGAAUGAAGAGUGACUGCUAGUGGGAACAGAGGUUUGGAGUUGCUUUGGAGUGAUAAAAAUGUAAAAUUGAUUGUGGUGAUGGUUGCACAAUUCUGUGAACCUAAGAACUAAAGAUCACUUCAUUCAUUCAUUCAUUCAUUUAUUCAUUUAUUUUAAUUUUUAAAAGUUUAUUUAUUUUUGAGACAGAGACAGUGCACAAGUGGUGGAGGGGCAGAGAGAGAGGGAUACAGAAUGUGAAGCAGGCUCCAGGCUCUGAGCUGUCAGCACAGAGCCCAAUGCGGCGCUCAACCCCAUGAACUGUGAGAUCAUGACCUGAGCUGACGUCGGACGCUUAACCAACUGAGCUACCCAGGCACCCCUAAAGAUCACUUUAAAUGAGAAUGGACAAUGGGAUGUAAGGUGUACCUGAGCAAACUUGGGAGAGAAAUUACAACUUCAUUCUAUAAACAACAACAACAACAAAAAGAAAAUUGGCAGAACUAAAUGACAUAUCGGAUAAAGGGUUAGUAUCCAAAAUCUAUAAAGAACUUAUCAAACUCCACACCCAAAAAACAAAUAAUCCAGUGAAGAGAUGGGCAGAAGACAUGAAUAGACACUUUUCUAAGGAAGACGUCCAGAUGGCCAACAGACACAUGAAAAGAUGCUCAACAUCACUCAUCAUCAAGGAAAUACAAAUCAAAACCACACUGAGAAACCACCUCACACCAGUCAGGGUGGCUAAAAUUAACAACUUUCAGGAAACAACAGAUGCUGGCAAGGAUGUGGAGAAAUGGGAACCCUCUUGCACUUUUGGUGGGAAUGCAAACUGGUGCAGCCACUCUGGAAAACAGUGUGGAGGUUCCUCAAAAUAUUAAAAAUAGAACUACCCUAUGACCCAGCAAUAGCACUACUAGGAAUUUAUCCAAAGGAUACAGGAGUGGUGAUUCAUAGGGGCACAUGUACCUCAGUGUUUAUAGCAGCACUUUCAACAAUAGCCAAAUUAUGAAAAGAGCCUAAAUAUCCAUCAGCUGAUGAAUGGAUAAAGAAGAUGGGUUUAUGUAUACAAUGGAAUACUACUUGGCAAUGAGAAAGAAUGAAAUUAUGCCAUUUGCAGCAACGUGGGUGGAACUGGAGGGUAUUAUGCUAAGUGAUAUAAGUCAGGCAGAGAAAGACAGAUAUCAUGUGUUUUCACUAAUAUGUGGAACUUGAGAAACUUAACAGAAGACCAUGAAGGAAGGGAAGGGGAAAAAAUAUUUACAAACAGAGAGGGAGGAGGCAAACCAUAAGAAACUCUUAAAUACAGAGAACAAAUUGAGGGUUGAUGGGGGGUUGUGGGGGAGAGGGGAAAAUGGGGGAUGGGCAUUGAGGAGGGCACUUGUUGGGAUGAGCACUGGAUGUUAUAUAUAAACGAUGAAUCAUGGGAAUCUACCCCCAAAACCAAGAGCACACUGUAUACACUGUAUGUUAGCCAACUUGACAAUAAAUCAUAUUUUUUAAAAAAUUGGCAGAAAUUAAUAAAAAAUUACCAGUUUCAUUAUCAGGUAAAAGAUCUAGCAAAAGGCUUUCAGUAAUGAGUUACAACUAUCAUUGGAUAACUUUCACUUCUCUAGUGUCUUGUGUAGUUUCAUCUUUACCCCAAUAUCUAGAGAGGUUCUAAGUAUUAGACAAAGUGAUAUUGUGUGUGAUUAUAUUACCAAAGCAAAUGUAAUUUUUUCUGUUACUUAAUUUGGUGAUUAUUUUACUUUUCAAGGCCUCAGUUGGAGAUAUCCCUAAAUCUCUAACAUUUUAUAACAUAAAUAUUAUCCAGAUACAUAUUAUGUUUUCAGUGUUGGAUGAAAAGAAUUUAGAGAUUUCCCCCUGAUUUACUCUCUUUAUUCCUACAUUACAAUGGAAGCUUGGGAGGUAGUUUUAUCAGUUAUCUGCUAUAAUAAUAAUGCUUCAUUAAAAAAAAAUCAUAAAGGGGCGCCUGGGUGGCGCAGUCGGUUAAGCAUCCGACUUCAGCCAGGUCACGAUCUCACGGUCUGUGAGUUCGAGCCCCGCGUCAGGCUCUGGGCUGAUGGCUCAGAGCCUGGAGCCUGCUUCCGAUUCUGUGUCUCCCUCUCUCUCUGUCCCUCCCCCGUUCAUGCUCUGUCUCUCUCUGUCCCAAAAAUAAAUAAACGUUGAAAAAAAAAAAAUCAUAAAAUCACAGAAGCUUACAAGUUUUUACUCACAUACCUGGAGUGGUUGGUUAGGUGAUUGUGCUGAUCUUGGUUAGGCUCAUUUACCUAUUUAGGGGUGGUACACUAAUAAUCUAAAAUGGUCUUGGCUAGGACAAUGUGGGUAUGGUGGCUCUGCUCCACGUGUCUCUCAUUUGCUAACAAGCUAAUACAAUAUUUCAUGCUUUUCCAAGAAUUUUCAAACAACUACCUUAAUUGACUCUCAUAAUGUUUUUGUGUGGUUGAUGGAGCAAAUAUUAUUAUGGUCAUUUGGUGGAUGAAGCAUAAAAGUUAAAACAAUUCACUUAGGACACCCUGCUAUACUGUUAAUGAUGACUAGAACCUGAGCUCAUUGAUAUUACCUGUGCUCCUUCUAGACCAGAUUUUUUUCUUCCUACCAAAUACUAGAAUUCUGUGACUGAAUGAAUUCCAAACUCACCAAAUAAAGUUGAGAUUUCUGGCA
Long non-coding RNA from Neofelis nebulosa (Clouded leopard), 4993 nucleotides. RefSeq lists it as uncharacterized. Lineage: Eukaryota; Metazoa; Chordata; Mammalia; Carnivora; Felidae. The transcript is spliced from 3 exons. The record is from RefSeq and is a predicted model, not a curated record.